GAUGUGGUUAAGUCCCGUAACGAGCGCAACCCUUGUCCUUAGUUACCAGCACGUUAUGGUGGGCACUCUAAGGAGACUGCCGGUGACAAACCGGAGGAAGGUGGGGAUGACGUCAAGUCAUCAUGGCCCUUACGGCCUGGGCUACACACGUGCUACAAUGGUCGGUACAAAGGGUUGCCAAGCCGCGAGGUGGAGCUAAUCCCAUAAAACCGAUCGUAGUCCGGAUCGCAGUCUGCAACUCGACUGCGUGAAGUCGGAAUCGCUAGUAAUCGUGAAUCAGAAUGUCACGGUGAAUACGUUCCCGGGCCUU
Molecule: ribosomal RNA, 310 nt
Filed under: uncultured Pseudomonas sp.
Lineage: Bacteria; Pseudomonadati; Pseudomonadota; Gammaproteobacteria; Pseudomonadales; Pseudomonadaceae
Description: bacterial SSU rRNA
Rfam family: Bacterial small subunit ribosomal RNA
Source: RNAcentral